UACGGGGGGAGCAAGCGUUGUUCGGAUUUACUGGGCGUAAAGGGCGCGUAGGCGGCCACCGCAAGUCGGUUGUGAAAUCUCUGGGCUUAACCCAGAAAGGUCAACCGAUACUGCGGGGCUAGAGUGCAGAAGGGGCAACUGGAAUUCUCGGUGUAGCGGUGAAAUGCGUAGAUAUCGAGAGGAACACCUGCGGCGAAGGCGGCGCUCUGGGCCGGUACUGACACUGAGGAGCGAAAGCGUGGGUAGCAAACAGG
Molecule: ribosomal RNA, 254 nt
Filed under: uncultured bacterium
Lineage: Bacteria
Description: partial 16S ribosomal RNA
Rfam family: Bacterial small subunit ribosomal RNA
Source: RNAcentral